GCCCCCUUAGCUCAGUGGAUAGAGCAUCGGCCUCCGGAGCCGAGAGCAGGCGUUCAAGUCGCCUAGGGGGUA
RNAcentral lists this transfer RNA (72 nucleotides) under Chloroflexota bacterium. RNAcentral describes it as "Chloroflexi bacterium (oil production facility metagenome) tRNA-Arg". It matches the Rfam family "tRNA". Rfam says of the family: Transfer RNA (tRNA) molecules are approximately 80 nucleotides in length. Their secondary structure includes four short double-helical elements and three loops (D, anti-codon, and T loops). The record is from RNAcentral. Lineage: Bacteria; Bacillati; Chloroflexota.